This 324-nucleotide ribosomal RNA is filed under the name Triticum aestivum (bread wheat). RNAcentral's name for it is "partial small subunit ribosomal RNA". Lineage: Eukaryota; Viridiplantae; Streptophyta; Magnoliopsida; Poales; Poaceae. The record is from RNAcentral.
AUGGAGUCUAAGUAUUUUGGUAGAUUAUUUUGGACUAUGAAAAAUGACUAUAACAGAAAUAUCGUGACUUUGGACCAGCCGGGCAAGCAAACAGGCAAUUGUGCCAAAAAGGCAAGCAAAAAGACUGAGAGAAGUGAGAAGGCCCUUUCUACACAACAAAAAGACAAGUGUCAAAAAGGUAAUGAAAAGAUAAAGAGAAGUGAGAAAAGGUCAUUUCUAUACAAAAAAAUGCACUUGUGCCAAUGCCAGAAGAAACCCGACACAUCAUAUAUAGAAAAAGGCACUUAUGCCAAAGCAUGUGCAGCUAUCACAGUGCGUGCGUAG